AUUUUUGUGUACCUAUGAAAAAAGUAUAUAUAUAUAUAUAUAUAUAUAUUUUUUUUUUUCAUUUGGUGCUUCCAGACACUUUGUGCCUUUCUGAUUUUAUAAUUUUGAGUAACCUCAGCUACAUGACUCCUGGCUUUUUGCCAUUGUGGUCUCAGGGCUCUGAAAUUUGGAUCAUGGACAUGGAAAAACCUUCGGAAAACUUUGUUAAACAGGUAUUCUUUGAAUCCUUCCUUUGCUUUCUGAGUUGUAUUUUAUUUGCUCUACCCAUGCGAACUUCAGGCCCACAAGCCUGCUAUUCUAUUUAAACAGAUCCCAACUGCUUGUCUGCUCACAGUAGCUGAAGGAAUGGAGAUUUAAGGCUGGGCUUCCUAUCCCUCAACAUCUUUUCUUUCCAGAAGCAUCACUGCACAGACCUCUGUUUCUUAGCUUUUUGUUCAUUCUACCCACUUUUCUGUUCUGUUCUCAGUUAUUCCUUUUAAAACUUCUCUCCAGCAGGAGUGACUUGCAAUUUGCACACACUCUUUUAAAUUCUCCCAAGUGCUGAAGAAGUAUAUUGAAAUAUCCUGAUGUAUAAUUUCGUGCAUGUGAAACUCACAGUUGGAAAUGACUGCUCUAAUUUCAGUAAUGAACACAGAAAAGCAUUUGGAUUCAUAACCCAAUGUUUGAAAAGUGUACUUUAAAAUGUAAUGUGCAAGAAAAGAAAAUUGAAGAGAACGAGGAAUGAAAAAACCUUAAAUAUACUGCUUCAUAAAUUCAUCAUUAGGCAUAUACAUGUUGCACUUCUAUUUAUAAAUCAGGCACUUUUAAUUUAUAGUGUGCAUUUACCACGUCAGCCUCUCCCGGGUCUCAAAAAUCCCGUGGCUGUAAAUUUAGGAAACUUGAACAAGCCAGCAAGGAUUAAGCCCUGUAGGAAUUCAAAUGACUAUCUUCUUAGACUCCUCAUUUCAGCCAUUUCAAGGAACUGCUUUUGGCCAGAACAGGCUCUGGAAAUGAAACUGUGUGUAUUCUUCGCCCAAAUAGAAAACGCAAUUCAAAGUUUAAGUUCUGGCUGUUGGGAGUCAUGGGAGGCGAAGAGCCUGGCUGGGAAACCGGAACCUGCAGCGGGGGCCUCGCUCGGAGCUUGCUGGGCGGACCGGGAGGACCCGCAGUCGGAAGGUCCCCGGCGGGGCGGGCCCGGAGGGCACGCUCCGCGCAGCACGGCUCAUCCCCAUCCUUCUGCAGAUGCUGAUAGGUCCUGGUACUCCCCCGGUGCUCACACGCUGGGGCACGCACACUGGGGCACACACGCCGGUGCACACACGCCGGUCGGCGGUGCAUGUGAAGCCAAGCCCCGAAGAGUUACCUCCCCAGCAGAAGAGAGUCCACACGCCCGCACGUGUGACGGUCCUUCCCGAGAAAGUGCCCGUUCCCCCGCUUCUGGCCCCACUUUCGCGCACCGCGAGCUCUACAAACCGUCUCUGGCCCAUUUUUUAAAUGACGUUACAAUAACGAAACUCUCCCCGGAAUCGGAUCGCGGCGAAGUCGCAGCGCACUCGGCGUCCGCGGGAGCUGCUGGGGCGCCGGGGGCUCGGUCCGGCCGGCCGCGGGGCGGGGUCCCGGGGAUCCCGGGGUCUCCGCGGCCGCCGGCUCCCGGGCAACCCGAGCGUAGCCCCAGCGGCCCCGCCGCCCUCCUCUCCGAGAGGCGCGCGCCGCGGAGUCCCGCGACCCCGAUCCCGGAUCGCCUCAUCCGCAGCUUGGCGCUUUCCCGAGCCGGAGCCGGAGCCGGAGCCGGAGCCGGAG
Molecule: long non-coding RNA, 1779 nt
Organism: Vulpes vulpes (red fox)
Lineage: Eukaryota; Metazoa; Chordata; Mammalia; Carnivora; Canidae
Source: Ensembl